RNAcentral lists this long non-coding RNA (305 nucleotides) under Elaeis guineensis (African oil palm). RNAcentral describes it as "long non-coding RNA (EGUI_LNC038559)". The record is from RNAcentral. Lineage: Eukaryota; Viridiplantae; Streptophyta; Magnoliopsida; Arecales; Arecaceae.
GGGCGUUGAGCAAUGCCCACCACCAAAGUCCCUGGUCAUGCGAUCUGACAUGACAGAGACAUGAAAGGAGCAUUGACCCUUCAUUAAUUUUCCACUCACAAGCUCCUCUAUGAGUAAAGACAAGAGGGAGCUUCCAAAAAGGUUCCCCCACACUGACGAUCUCCACUCAGCUCCUACUAACUUCUUUAAGCUAGAGAUCAUCCGCACCAAUGAUGCACGUUGAACCCCCACCUAGAAUCUAGCCAAUUCCAGCCUUCAGACCAUAACCCAAUCGCACAUUAAGUAACCAUUCCCUAUGAGGGACC